AGUGCCAAGAGAAAUCCCCUAGGAUCAAGAUUUUUCUCACAAGGGGAGAUGAUACCAUAGUGAGUGUCCAGCUUCCCCAGCUGUGCAGAAUGCUGCCAAAGAAGCCCACAUUUUUCCUGACCUUACCCAGGUUACUAAGGUAAUCAGCACAACUGAGAAGCUGGAAGAGGCUGGGAACAGCAACCAGCAAGCACUUUAUGGAACUUAAGAAAGGAAGACCCCACAAGUGGACGAAGCUGAGUUAUGUUCUGCUCCCCCCACCCAGAUACAUACAACAGGACUGCCUAUCACAUGCCAACCAGUGCAACUGAAGGAGUCAUGACUACAGUGAUUUAAUGUGGACUUAGGUGGGCUUCACACAAAAACAAGUGGAUUUAUCUCCUGCCCCACCCCCAGGCUUCUUGGAUGACCCACAAUGAAGGACUCCAAAGGAACGUGCUCAAGGGCCGACACAUGUGCAAACCAGAGUGCUGGAGAAUGAACAACUCAUGGGCAAACAUUUGACAAGUGGGAGACAGACCUGAUGGAUAAAGGCUUCUCCCUUUCCCACUCUCCCCUCCUCACCACAAUGGAUGGUCCUGAAAUACAUUUCAUAUGGCUUCUCUGACAGUCUUGAGACAUAUUUCCUUUGGCUUCACGGAAGUUUCUGUGGGAUUAAGCAACCAGCCAACUAAAAGCAGCAGCCAUCCUUGCCUGAGCCUGGACGUGGGAGCCUGGCUGGGAGCUCACCCAUGGCCCCUCCUUGCGUUGUCAAUUUAUUAACCAAUAACCAGCAAAAUAACCAAUUAAAGACUAUGAAAACUUUAUUUAAAAAAAUAGCAAUAAAAUAAAAUAAAAGCAGCAGCCAGCUCAAUAAGGCAUUUUAGUAUUGGCUCUCCCUCCUUACCCCCUUCACUCUUAUCUCUCAUUCCCUCUCCCUGGGAUCAUGCUCCUCAGAAAGUACUAAUGCAUAAGCCCUCAUCACAAGCCCUGUGGAAACAGGGCUAAGGCAGGUAAUAGCUGACAUGCUUUAAAGUGCAUGUGCCCGGCCUGGCCAUCUCACUCUCUGAAAUCUAUCCUGCAGACAAGCUUGCUAAAGUGUUUCAGAAACACAUGUACAAGGAUGUUCACCUGAAGUAUUUUAUGUAAUAGGUAGAGAGGAUCACACUACUAUAGUAUUAAAUGAAAAGAAGGCUGGGCACUGUGGCUCAUGCCUAUAAUCCCAGGACUUUGGGAG
This 1216-nucleotide long non-coding RNA is filed under the name Homo sapiens (human). RNAcentral describes it as "HSALNT0335550". Lineage: Eukaryota; Metazoa; Chordata; Mammalia; Primates; Hominidae. The record is from RNAcentral.